AUGCCGACGGUGCGGCGGCGGAACCCGGACGUGCACGUGAAGGCGCUGGAGGGCAUCGUGUCGGCCAACACGUUCCUCACGGUGGCCGUCUUCAUCGGCAUCACGGGGACCAUCACGGCCUCCUCCACCGUGCCGACCAACUGCGUCGCCGGGGACGACAUCGCCCGCAACUUCUUCCUCUUCGAGAUCCUCUCCUUCGGCUUCUACCUGCUGUCCAGCCUGGUGGCGCAGGGCAUGAAGCUGUCCGUCACGCUGCUGGCCGCCGGCGACGACUUCUACGGCGACGGCGAGCAGAAGCCGGUCAUGACCGACGACUGCGAGGAGAUGCCGGCGUGGCGCGCGGCGGCUCCCCGGGAGCGGCGCCGCGCCGUGCUGCGGUACGCGCGGCCCAUGAUGCUGCUGGCCGCCGCGUGCUCCAUCAUGGGCACCUUCUUCCUGCUGCUCUCCAUGAUCGACGCCAUCCAGCUCAAGUUCGGGAUCCUGUCCUGCAACAUCCCGCUCGCCGUCGGCGCCACCUUCGCGCUCUCCGUGCUCGCCGUCUCCGGCCUGCUCUUCUACGGGUACACCGUCGGAUACGCGCUCUACAACUACCUGCCGUGA
Molecule: ribosomal RNA, 600 nt
Filed under: Triticum aestivum (bread wheat)
Lineage: Eukaryota; Viridiplantae; Streptophyta; Magnoliopsida; Poales; Poaceae
Description: partial small subunit ribosomal RNA
Source: RNAcentral